RNAcentral lists this ribosomal RNA (472 nucleotides) under uncultured Arcobacter sp. Its description in RNAcentral is "bacterial SSU rRNA". It matches the Rfam family "Bacterial small subunit ribosomal RNA", at positions 111 to 602 of the family's 1533-position model. Lineage: Bacteria; Pseudomonadati; Campylobacterota; Epsilonproteobacteria; Campylobacterales; Arcobacteraceae. The record is from RNAcentral.
UAAUAUGUAGGGUAACGUGCCCUAGAUAAGAGGAUAAGAUUUGGAAACGAAUGCUAAUACUCUAUAUGCCUUUAAGACUUAAGUCUGCAAGGGAAAUAUUUAUAGCUCUAGGAUCGGCCUGUACGGUAUCAGCUUGUUGGUGAGGUAAUGGCUCACCAAGGCAAUGACACCUAACUGGUUUGAGAGGAUGAUCAGUCACACUGGAACUGAGACACGGUCCAGACUCCUACGGGAGGCAGCAGUGGGGAAUAUUGCACAAUGGACGAAAGUCUGAUGCAGCAACGCCGCGUGGAGGAUGACACAUUUCGGUGCGUAAACUCCUUUUAUAUAGGAAGAUAAUGACGGUACUAUAUGAAUAAGCGCCGGCUAACUCCGUGCCAGCAGCCGCGGUAUUACGGAGGGCGCAAGCGUUACUCGGAAUCACUGGGCGUAAAGAGCGUGUAGGCGGGUUAAUAAGUCAGAAGUGAAAUCC